RNAcentral lists this ribosomal RNA (1314 nucleotides) under unidentified marine bacterioplankton. Its description in RNAcentral is "bacterial SSU rRNA". It matches the Rfam family "Bacterial small subunit ribosomal RNA", at positions 9 to 1371 of the family's 1533-position model. The record is from RNAcentral.
GAGUUUGAUCAUGGCUCAGGAUGAACGCUGGCGGCGUGCUUAACACAUGCAAGUCGAACGAACCUUCGGGUUAGUGGCGGACGGGUGAGUAACGCGUGAGAAUCUGCCCUCAGGAGGGGGAUAACGGUUGGAAACGACCGCUAAUACCCCAUAUGCCGCGAGGUGAAAUGAAUUUCGCCUGAGGAUGAGCUCGCGUCUGAUUAGCUAGUUGGUGGGGUAAAGGCCUACCAAGGCAUCGAUCAGUAGCUGGUCUGAGAGGAUGAUCAGCCACACUGGGACUGAGACACGGCCCAGACUCCUACGGGAGGCAGCAGUGGGGAAUUUUCCGCAAUGGGCGAAAGCCUGACGGAGCAACGCCGCGUGAGGGAUGAAGGCCUCUGGGCUGUAAACCUCUUUUAUCAAGGAAGAAGAUCUGACGGUACUUGAUGAAUAAGCCACGGCUAAUUCCGUGCCAGCAGCCGCGGUAAUACGGGAGUGGCAAGCGUUAUCCGGAAUUAUUGGGCGUAAAGCGUCCGCAGGCGGCCCUUCAAGUCUGCUGUUAAAAAGUGGAGCUUAACUUCAUCAUGGCAGUGGAAACUGUUGGGCUUGAGUGUGGUAGGGGCAGAGGGAAUUCCCGGUGUAGCGGUGAAAUGCGUAGAUAUCGGGAAGAACACCAGUGGCGAAGGCGCUCUGCUGGGCCAUCACUGACGCUCAUGGACGAAAGCCAGGGGAGCGAAAGGGAUUAGAUACCCCUGUAGUCCUGGCCGUAAACGAUGAACACUAGGUGUCGGGGGAAUCGACCCCCUCGGUGUCGUAGCCAACGCGUUAAGUGUUCCGCCUGGGGAGUACGCACGCAAGUGUGAAACUCAAAGGAAUUGACGGGGGCCCGCACAAGCGGUGGAGUAUGUGGUUUAAUUCGAUGCAACGCGAAGAACCUUACCGGGGUUUGACAUCCUGCGAAUCUCUUGGAAACGAGAGAGUGCCUUCGGGAACGCAGUGACAGGUGGUGCAUGGCUGUCGUCAGCUCGUGUCGUGAGAUGUUGGGUUAAGUCCCGCAACGAGCGCAACCCACGUCUUUAGUUGCCAGCAUUUAGUUGGGCACUCUAGAGAGACCGCCGGUGAUAAACCGGAGGAAGGUGUGGAUGACGUCAAGUCAUCAUGCCCCUUACAUCCUGGGCUACACACGUACUACAAUGCUACGGACAAAGGGCAGCAAGUUCGCGAGGACAAGCAAAUCCCAUAAACCGUGGCUCAGUUCAGAUCGUAGGCUGCAACUCGCCUACGUGAAGGAGGAAUCGCUAGUAAUCGCAGGUCAGCAUACUGCGGUGAAUACGU